AAUAAGACAGCACCAGUAAGCAAGGUCUAGUAAGAGGUUCCCUGGACCAUAGACUAAUAUGCCUUGUCGGUGCCUGUGGUGGUAUUAGUAGUCAUUAAAAUAUGUCCUUGUCAUUGGUAAGGGGCAAGACAUACACUAAUAGAGAGGGGCAAAAAGAAAUUUGUCCGAAGUCACAAGCCGAAAUCACUUGCUAGAAAAGUGGCAUGAGAGUGAAAAUCUGGGCUGCAUAUACCAUUGAAGCAGGAGAGGCAUAGUCUAGAGUAAGCAAGUUAUCCUGAUCCAUUCAAGAGGAUACCUGACAAUGUUUCUGAGAACCGAUAGUCACUGAAUAUAUGGAGCAACAGCCUUCUAAACUGGGAACACUCCUAUUGUUGGGUACUAUCAUGACAGAAGCCAGAAUACAGUCCUGUCAACCACCACUCCACCACCCAGCUGAAGGAUGUGUUAUCAUCAUCACACACGAGACCCAAGCCUUGCCUUAUAAUAUACGAGAAUAAGAUUAUGAUGGGGAACUGAGGAAGAGAGACAUUAAGCUCAAACUCACACAGGAGUUGAGUUUGGGGUGGAGCAGGGAAUUAAAUCUGAGUCUCCCAAAUCUCAGACUUGCAGACUAAACACUGGACCAUUCUUCCUCCAGUUAUUCCUUCAAGAACAAGACAGCCAAUACACCCAUCACCUCACCACUACCUCCCUCAAACAGGCUCACAAAAAUUAAAAACCUGAAUUGCAAUGGGACUUCGUAAAUCAAUAAGUCUUGACUGUGAGAAAUGAACUGAAGGCAGCAACACUGGUUUGGAGAAUAAAGCAAGCUAAACAACAGGAAGGGGAAGGGUACAAAAUGUACAGGAGAGGGCUGUUUGGGGUUCUGGGUUUUUUGGAUGCGUGUUAUGAAAGGGAAUCUGGAUUGACCUAGCUAUACGGAGCAGAUGGAAGGCAAGGGAGACUGGCCGUUUUCUAUUUUCACAUGCUAGGAAAUAAAAGGAGACUCGGCUGCAGUCAUUAUAGUACAAAAAGCACAUCUGCAUUCCCAUUCUAAUGGGGCACUCUCCCAAGCUCAGUGAGCUGAAACACUUAUAAAAUGUGUUUACAUCAUGAUGAGGCAUUUUAAAUAGUGAAUUAUAUUCUGUGCUCUCAAGGAGUGGAGGGACUGAAUCAAAAAUACCAAGCUCUGCUUGUUAAACAAUAAAACAAAGCACAUUUUAGUAAACUAUCCUACCUUGAGGGGACAGUCAAUUACAUCUGCUAUCUGUUUUCUUCAGCUACACAUGUGAUUUGACAAACACCAGAAUAUUACCUCUGGAUAAGUUUCAGGAUGAAUGUCUUUUCUUGGCAUAAACCAAAAUGCAUGGCAAAAGUGCUAGAAACCAGAUAUUGGUGUCUGCUUAUAGUCAACCCAUGCAAUUAGUCUUGCACAAAUCACAGUGUCUCAACUGAAGGUUAAUUUACACUGACCUAAUCUGCUUAUUUUUCAAUAAAGUGGUGCUGUAUAACUUCUCAGCAUUAGUGGAUCAGAGGACACUCUUUCUGUUGUGUCUCAUCAGUCAUUCUGUAUCUUGCCAAGUGGAUCCAUUUGUUUCUGGAAAAGACACCAAUAAUGGAUCAUAUAUGUAAGCUGAAAGGGCACAGUCUAUAAUAUUUUCAUUAAACUAUAAAUGUUUUGCAGCACAUUCAUUUGUCGAUUAAAUAUAGACAAGUUAUAGUAAAUAGUCUUUUAAAUAGUGUAGCCUUUACAAAGGUUUUCAUCUUUGACUUUCUAUAGACCUGAUUG
This is a long non-coding RNA of Chelonia mydas (Green sea turtle), 1768 nucleotides long. RefSeq lists it as uncharacterized. Lineage: Eukaryota; Metazoa; Chordata; Testudines; Cheloniidae. The record is from RefSeq and is a predicted model, not a curated record. The transcript has 4 exons.